This 195-nucleotide unclassified non-coding RNA is filed under the name plant metagenome. RNAcentral describes it as "partial contains small subunit ribosomal RNA and internal transcribed spacer 1". The stretch from base 1 to 46 matches the Rfam family "Eukaryotic small subunit ribosomal RNA", at positions 1786 to 1831 of the family's 1831-position model. The record is from RNAcentral.
AAGUCGUAACAAGGUCUCCGUAGGUGAACCUGUGGAGGGAUCAUUACUGAGUGAGGGCCCUCGCGGUCCGACCUCCAACCCUUUGUCGUCCGACUCUGUUGCCUCGGGGGCGUCCCCGGCGUUCGCGCCAGGGCCCCGGCCGGUCCACACAACUCUGCAUCUUUGCCGCCUGAGUAAACAUUAAAUGAAACAAAA